This 440-nucleotide ribosomal RNA is filed under the name uncultured bacterium. Its description in RNAcentral is "bacterial SSU rRNA". It matches the Rfam family "Bacterial small subunit ribosomal RNA", at positions 355 to 787 of the family's 1533-position model. The record is from RNAcentral.
UGGGGAAUUUUGGACAAUGGGGGCAACCCUGAUCCAGCCAUCCCGCGUGUGCGACGAAGGCCUUCGGGUUGUAAAGCACUUUUGGCAGGAAAGAAAUCGCAUGGGUUAAUACCUCGUGUGGAUGACGGUACCUGCAGAAUAAGCACCGGCUAACUACGUGCCAGCAGCCGCGGUAAUACGUAGGGUGCAAGCGUUAAUCGGAAUUACUGGGCGUAAAGCGUGCGCAGGCGGUUCGGAAAGAAAGAUGUGAAAUCCCAGGGCUUAACCUUGGAACUGCAUUUUUAACUACCGGGCUAGAGCGUGUCAGAGGGAGGUGGAAUUCCGCGUGUAGCAGUGAAAUGCGUAGAUAUGCGGAGGAACACCGAUGGCGAAGGCAGCCUCCUGGGGUAACACUGACGCUCAUGCACGAAAGCGUGGGGAGCAAACAGGAUUAGAUACCC